GACGAACGCUGGCGGCGUGCCUAAUACAUGCAAGUAGAACGCUGAAGGAGGAGCUUGCUUCUCUGGAUGAGUUGCGAACGGGUGAGUGACGCGUAGGUAACCUGCCUGGUAGCGGGGGAUAACUAUUGGAAACGAUAGCUAAUACCGCAUAAUAGCAGUUAUUGCAUGAUAACUGUUUGAAAGGUGCAAUUGCACCACUACCAGAUGGACCUGCGUUGUAUUAGCUAGUUGGUGGGGUAACGGCUCACCAAGGCGACGAUACAUAGCCGACCUGAGAGGGUGAUCGGCCACACUGGGACUGAGACACGGCCCAGACUCCUACGGGAGGCAGCAGUAGGGAAUCUUCGGCAAUGGACGGAAGUCUGACCGAGCAACGCCGCGUGAGUGAAGAAGGUUUUCGGAUCGUAAAGCUCUGUUGUAAGAGAAGAACGAGUGUGAGAGUGGAAAGUUCACACUGUGACGGUAUCUGACCAGAAAGGGACGGCUAACUACGUG
Molecule: ribosomal RNA, 495 nt
Filed under: uncultured bacterium
Lineage: Bacteria
Description: partial 16S ribosomal RNA
Rfam family: Bacterial small subunit ribosomal RNA
Source: RNAcentral